UACGAAGGGGGCUAGCGUUGCUCGGAAUCACUGGGCGUAAAGGGUGCGUAGGCGGGUUUUUAAGUCAGGGGUGAAAUCCUGGAGCUCAACUCCGGAACUGCCUUUGAUACUGAAGAUCUUGAGUUCGGGAGAGGUGAGUGGAACUGCGAGUGUAGAGGUGAAAUUCGUAGAUAUUCGCAAGAACACCAGUGGCGAAGGCGGCUCACUGGCCCGAUACUGACGCUGAGGCACGAAAGCGUGGGGAGCAAACAGG
RNAcentral lists this ribosomal RNA (253 nucleotides) under uncultured bacterium. RNAcentral's name for it is "partial 16S ribosomal RNA". It matches the Rfam family "Bacterial small subunit ribosomal RNA", at positions 524 to 776 of the family's 1533-position model. The record is from RNAcentral.